GUAGGGGGCAAGCGUUGUCCGGAUUUAUUGGGCGUAAAGAGCGUGUAGGCGGCCAGACAGGUCCGCUGUGAAGACUCGAGGCUCAACCUCGAGAUGUCGGUGGAAACCGUUUGGCUAGAGUCCGGAAGAGGAGAGUGGAAUUCCUGAUGUAGCGGUGAAAUGCGCAGAUAUCAGGAAGAACACCCAUGGCGAAGGCAGCUCUCUGGGACGGUACUGACGCUGAGACGCGAAAGCGUGGGGAGCGAACAGGAUUAGAUACCCUGGUAGUCCACGCCGUAAACGAUGGGUGCUAGGUGUGGGCGGUGUCGACUCCGUCCGUGCCGAAGCUAACGCAUUAAGCACCCCGCCUGGGGGAGUACGGCCGCAAGGCUA
This 372-nucleotide ribosomal RNA is filed under the name uncultured bacterium. RNAcentral describes it as "bacterial SSU rRNA". It matches the Rfam family "Bacterial small subunit ribosomal RNA", at positions 527 to 896 of the family's 1533-position model. The record is from RNAcentral.